AAAAAAAUCAAUUAGAGAAAGAGAAACAUUUUUGCAAAGCUCUUAAAUUACAGACAAAAGGUUCAAAAUAUUUCCUAAGACAUAAAACUCAAUCAAUUCUAAGAAUUAAUUUGCAGACACAUUUCAUUGUUUCCAAAACUAAUUUACAGACAAAUUUAUCUACUUCCUAA
Vicia faba (fava bean) is the source of this 170-nucleotide non-coding RNA. NCBI's taxonomy places the organism in Eukaryota, Viridiplantae, Streptophyta, Magnoliopsida, Fabales, Fabaceae. The record is from the annotation of a GenBank genome assembly.